Molecule: small nuclear RNA, 328 nt
Filed under: Tupaia belangeri chinensis (Chinese tree shrew)
Lineage: Eukaryota; Metazoa; Chordata; Mammalia; Scandentia; Tupaiidae
Description: Tupaia chinensis (Chinese tree shrew) 7SK RNA
Rfam family: 7SK RNA
About the family: 7SK was discovered as an abundant small nuclear RNA in the mid-70s but a possible function has only recently been suggested. Two independent studies have found that 7SK RNA binds the CDK9/cyclin T complex (known as elongation factor P-TEFb).
Source: Rfam by way of RNAcentral
AGAUAUGAGGCAAUUGCUGUGACAUCUGUCACCCCAUUGAUCACAAGGGUUGAUUUGGCUGAUCUGGCUGUAUCUAUACAGGUGUCCCUUUCCUCCCCAACCACUCCAUGUGCAUCCCUCCUGAAGCUGUGCACUUGGUUGAAGAGGAUGAUCAUUCCCAAUACAGAAGGACUGUUCUUCAGUCAAGGAUAUAUGAGCAGCUUCACUCCCCUGCUAGAACCUGCAGACAAGCUCUCAAGGUCCAUUGAAGGAGAAUGUAGGGUAGUCAAGGUUCUAAGAACCAGGCACAUCUAAAUGAGGCACUGCAUGUAGCAGUUUGCCUUUCUUU